This 253-nucleotide ribosomal RNA is filed under the name uncultured bacterium. RNAcentral's name for it is "partial 16S ribosomal RNA". It matches the Rfam family "Bacterial small subunit ribosomal RNA", at positions 524 to 776 of the family's 1533-position model. The record is from RNAcentral.
UACGUAGGGGGCAAGCGUUGUCCGGAAUCAUUGGGCGUAAAGAGCGUGUAGGCGGCUAGAUAAGUCCGCUGUGAAAUCUCGAGGCUCAACUUCGAGCCGUCAGUGGAAACUGUCUGGCUAGAGUCCGGAAGAGGAGAAUGGAAUUCCUGGUGUAGCGGUGAAAUGCGCAGAUAUCAGGAAGAACACCCGUGGCGAAGGCGGUUCUCUGGGACGGUACUGACGCUGAGACGCGAAAGCGUGGGGAGCGAACAGG